This 273-nucleotide ribosomal RNA is filed under the name uncultured Bacillus sp. RNAcentral's name for it is "partial 16S ribosomal RNA". It matches the Rfam family "Bacterial small subunit ribosomal RNA", at positions 524 to 796 of the family's 1533-position model. Lineage: Bacteria; Bacillati; Bacillota; Bacilli; Caryophanales; Bacillaceae. The record is from RNAcentral.
UACGUAGGUGGCAAGCGUUGUCCGGAAUUAUUGGGCGUAAAGCGCGCGCAGGCGGCUUCUUAAGUCUGAUGUGAAAUCUUGCGGCUCAACCGCAAGCGGUCAUUGGAAACUGGGAGGCUUGAGUGCAGAAGAGGAGAGUGGAAUUCCACGUGUAGCGGUGAAAUGCGUAGAGAUGUGGAGGAACACCAGUGGCGAAGGCGGCUCUCUGGUCUGUAACUGACGCUGAGGCGCGAAAGCGUGGGGAGCAAACAGGAUUAGAUACCCCCGUAGUCC